UACGUAGGGUGCAAGCGUUGUCCGGAAUUAUUGGGCGUAAAGAGCUCGUAGGCGGUCUGUCGCGUCGGCUGUGAAAACCCAGGGCUCAACCCUGGGCCUGCAGUCGAUACGGGCAGACUAGAGUCCGGCAGGGGAGACUGGAAUUCCUGGUGUAGCGGUGAAAUGCGCAGAUAUCAGGAGGAACACCAAAGGCGAAGGCAGUGUCCUGGGGAGUACCUGACGCUCAGGUGCGAAAGCCAGGGGAGCGAACGGG
Molecule: ribosomal RNA, 253 nt
Filed under: uncultured bacterium
Lineage: Bacteria
Description: partial 16S ribosomal RNA
Rfam family: Bacterial small subunit ribosomal RNA
Source: RNAcentral